AAGAGAAAUAGGUUAGCCUGGCCAUGUGCCUCCUAUUGCAACUCAUCACACGUGAAGUGGGAAGAGGAAUAAGCUGGAGGAAAAGGAUGCAGUGCUGCAGAUGUAAAGAUGUAAAGAAUGUACAAUUGAUUCAGUAAAUUUAUUUUAAGAGUUGGUA
Molecule: long non-coding RNA, 157 nt
Filed under: Penaeus japonicus
Lineage: Eukaryota; Metazoa; Arthropoda; Malacostraca; Decapoda; Penaeidae
Description: uncharacterized LOC122268194
Source: RNAcentral